GGAUCCCAUCAGAACUCUGAAGUUAAGCGUGCUUGGGCGAGAGUAGUACUAGGAUAGGUGACCUCCUGGGAAGUACUCGUGUUGGUGCGGUAGAGAGGGGGUUGAGUAUGCAUUAUUACACGGCGGUGCAUAAGAAGGUAGGGGCGAGAUAAGGGACGAAGUGGGGAAACAUGUCGGAUGCGAUCAUACCAGCACUAAAGCACC
This 204-nucleotide ribosomal RNA is filed under the name Hordeum murinum. The record is from RNAcentral. Lineage: Eukaryota; Viridiplantae; Streptophyta; Magnoliopsida; Poales; Poaceae.